RNAcentral lists this ribosomal RNA (598 nucleotides) under Oceanobacillus kimchii. Its description in RNAcentral is "bacterial SSU rRNA". It matches the Rfam family "Bacterial small subunit ribosomal RNA", at positions 100 to 684 of the family's 1533-position model. Lineage: Bacteria; Bacillati; Bacillota; Bacilli; Caryophanales; Bacillaceae. The record is from RNAcentral.
GGACGGGUGAGUAACACGUAGGCAACCUGCCUGUAAGACUGGGAUAACUCGUGGAAACGCGAGCUAAUACCGGAUAACACUUUUCAUCUCCUGAUGAGAAGUUGAAAGGCGGCUUUUGCUGUCACUUACAGAUGGGCCUGCGGCGCAUUAGCUAGUUGGUAAGGUAAUGGCUUACCAAGGCGACGAUGCGUAGCCGACCUGAGAGGGUGAUCGGCCACACUGGGACUGAGACACGGCCCAGACUCCUACGGGAGGCAGCAGUAGGGAAUCUUCCGCAAUGGACGAAAGUCUGACGGAGCAACGCCGCGUGAGUGAUGAAGGUUUUCGGAUCGUAAAACUCUGUUGUUAGGGAAGAACAAGUGCCAUAGUAACUGAUGGCACCUUGACGGUACCUAACCAGAAAGCCACGGCUAACUACGUGCCAGCAGCCGCGGUAAUACGUAGGUGGCAAGCGUUGUCCGGAAUUAUUGGGCGUAAAGCGCUCGCAGGCGGUUCUUUAAGUCUGAUGUGAAAUCUUACGGCUCAACCGUAAACGUGCAUUGGAAACUGGGGAACUUGAGUGCAGAAGAGGAGAGUGGAAUUCCACGUGUAGCGGUGA